GAUGAACGCUAGCGGCAGGCUUAACACAUGCAAGUCGAGGGGCAGCGCGGGUAGCAAUACCUGGCGGCGACCGGCAAACGGGUGCGGAACACGUACACAAUUUACCUUCGUCUGGGGCAUAGCCCGAAGAAAUUCGGAUUAACUCCCCAUAAGAUAUUAAAGUGGCAUCACUUAGAUAUUAAAACUCCGGUGGACAAAGA
RNAcentral lists this ribosomal RNA (200 nucleotides) under uncultured bacterium. Its description in RNAcentral is "partial 16S ribosomal RNA". It matches the Rfam family "Bacterial small subunit ribosomal RNA", at positions 28 to 225 of the family's 1533-position model. The record is from RNAcentral.